Molecule: ribosomal RNA, 1144 nt
Filed under: human gut metagenome
Description: bacterial LSU rRNA
Rfam family: Bacterial large subunit ribosomal RNA
Source: RNAcentral
CAUUUAAAGAGUGCGUAACAGCUCACUAGUCGAGAAAACCUGCGCCGAAAAUUUAACGGGGCUAAAACACGACACCGAAGCUACGGAUUUCCUACUAGGUAGGAAGUGGUAGAGGAGCAUCCUGCAAGGACGAAGCCAAAGUGAGAACGAUGGUGGACGAAACAGGAGAGAGAAUGCCGGAAUGAGUAGCGAGAUAGAAGUAAGAAACUUCUAGGCCGAAUAUCUAAGGUUUCCUGGGUAAAGCUAAUCUUCCCAGGGUUAGUCGGGGCCUAAGGCGAGGACGAAAGUCGUAGUCGAUGGAUAACAGGUUGAUAUUCCUGUACUACGUAUCAUCAGAACUGUGGGGACGCAGGAGGAUAGGAAAACCGGGGAAUGGAAAAACCCGGCCAAGUACAAAGUCAAGGGAGAUAGGCAAAUCCGUCUCUUGUAUGAUGAAGUGCGAUGGGGACUGAACAAAAGUAGGGAAGUUUCCGAAUCCACACUGUCGAGAAAAGCCGCUAUUGUGUGAUACGUACCCGUACCGUAAACCGACACAGGUAGAUGAGGAAGAAAAUCCACAGGCCGACGGGAGAAGUGUUGUUAAGGAACUCGGCAAAAUGACCCCGUAACUUAGGGAGAAGGGGAGCCACGCAAGUGGCCGCAGAAAAGAGGCUCAAGCGACUGUUUAGCAAAAACACAGGUCUCUGCGAAACCGAAAGGUGAAGUAUAGGGGCUGACACCUGCCCGGUGCUGGAAGGUUAAAAGGAGAGGUUCGACGUAAGUCAAAGCUUUGAAUUCAAGCCCCAGUAAACGGCGGCCGUAACUAUAACGGUCCUAAGGUAGCGAAAUUCCUUGUCAGGUAAGUUCUGACCCGCACGAAAGGUGUAACGAUUUGAGCACUGUCUCGACAACACGCCCGGUGAAAUUGAAGAACCAGUGAAGAUACUGGUUACCCGCAACAGGACGGAAAGACCCCAUGGAGCUUUACUGCAGCCUGAUACUGGGAUUCGAUGAUGUAUGUACAGGAUAGGAGGGAGACUAGGAAUCCGGGACGCCAGUUUCGGAGGAGUCGACGGUGGGAUACCUCUCUUAUGUUAUUGGAUUUCUAACUUGGCACCGUGAUCCGGUGUGAGGACAAUGUCAGGCGGGCAGUUUGACUGGGGCG